CUACAACUGUGACAUCAGCGGUCAUGGAGAGUCUCCAUCCAGCUGGAUCACUGUCACAGCUAAACCAUCAACCACAGCCUCACCCACUACCCUUCCCAUGACCACCUCUAGAGCACCUCCAUCGCUUGUCUCCACCCCUUUCCAGGUUGUGACUACAGUCUGCCACCUGCUGUUGUUCUUUUCGCACUUACUUCAUCUUCACUGUGCUCAUGCCACAGAAAACACCCUACCUGUCUCCAUGGUGACGACCCAUGUACUGAAGACGAAGGUUCGAUGGCAAGAAUGAGAGUAUAAUUUCUAAACUGUGCCAAUGAAGAUGGAAAUUUAUAUUGCAACUCUAUGAAACUUAAUUAGCUGAAUAGACGGCUUGUCUAGUUUUACAUACUUUAUGACAAGGUUGUCCAAGUCCAGGCAUCGAGGGCCAGCGUCCUGCAGGUUUUAGAUCUCACCCUGGGUCAACACACCUGAAUCAAAUGAUCAGUUCAUUACCAGGCCUCUGGAGAACUUCAAGACAUAUUGAGGAGGUCAUUAGCCAUUUGAAUCAGCUGUGUUGGAUCAAGGACACAUCUAAAACCUGCAGGACACCGGCUCUUGAAACCUGGACUUGGACACCCCUGCUUUAUGGCAAUCAAAAUGAAAGAGCUGAAUCUGGAAAUAUUACAAAAAAUAUCUUUUAUAUCCAGCAAAGCAGGUCAAGAGUUUGACAUUUUGAUGAAAAUAUACUAUUUGCAAGAUUGCACAGGAAUCUAUUACUUGUGAUUAUGAUUUACAGCUUUACAUACUGUCUAAUUUUAAAAUGUACAAGUCAGUUGUUAGAAUUUAUGAGGAAUGUUUCUCUGGAGAAAUCAGUGUUUUAUUUUAUUUAUUUCUAUAUUGUUAUUACUUGCUGUUAACGAAAAAAGCCACUUUUUAAUCAUACACAUGUUCAGCCCGUCCCAAUAAAAUGCAUAUCUGCUGUUUUUAUUA
Oreochromis aureus is the source of this 966-nucleotide long non-coding RNA. RefSeq lists it as uncharacterized. The record is from RefSeq and is a predicted model, not a curated record. Lineage: Eukaryota; Metazoa; Chordata; Actinopteri; Cichliformes; Cichlidae. The transcript is spliced from 3 exons.